This 594-nucleotide unclassified non-coding RNA is filed under the name Hevea brasiliensis (rubber tree). Lineage: Eukaryota; Viridiplantae; Streptophyta; Magnoliopsida; Malpighiales; Euphorbiaceae. The record is from RNAcentral.
GAAGAGAAUUACUGUAAAAAAAUAGUUGCAGAUUCUGACACCCUUUUGGGAAAUUCGAAUUGGGUUUGGGUUUUCUUGGGAGAUGGCGUUAAAUCCUAGUAGUAGAAUGGACUCACAAACGGCUGCUGAAAAAGCCGUCUCUGUGAUUGGGUUAGGUUAUGAUUUGACAAGUGAUAUCCGGUUGACGGCCUGUAAAAUCGGACCGAAUGGGUAUGGUUUGAUAGAGAUUGAUCAGAAGUCGACCAAGGACCUGCUGGUGCCUGGUGGGGUGGUGGUUUCUAAUGUUUCCACCUCUAUCAAGUGCGAUAAAGGGGAACGAACUAGGUUUCGCUCUGAUGCUCUUUCUUUUAGUCAGAUGUCAGAGCAAUUAAAUCAGGAGCUGUCCCUGUCUGGUAAGAUACCUUCUGGGUUGUUUAAUGCGAUGUUUGGUCACAAGGGAUGCUGGCAAAAAGAUGCAUCUUCGACAAAGCUUCUCGCUUUUGAUGGUUGGUUCAUUACCUUGUACAAUAUUGAGUUGGUGAGAUCCCAUCUAACACUGUCUGAGCAAGUAAAACAAGACGUGCCUUCUUCUUGGGAUCCUCCUGCACUUGCAGA